This is a long non-coding RNA of Zingiber officinale, 1226 nucleotides long. RefSeq lists it as uncharacterized. NCBI's taxonomy places the organism in Eukaryota, Viridiplantae, Streptophyta, Magnoliopsida, Zingiberales, Zingiberaceae. The record is from RefSeq and is a predicted model, not a curated record. The transcript has 4 exons.
CCUCACUUUUCCUUUACCCGUGCCCUAGCCGAUUCCCUCUUCUCUCUCGCUCGACGUUGACCACCUCUUCUUCUUCUUCCCCCUUCGUUGAGUUCGUGCCCCCGUCAACGCACCUCUCCGGAGCUUUCUACUCUCCUUCCCCCGAGCCUCCCUCUCACCUCUGCUCGACCCUUUUCUUCCCCAAUGACGAUGCCAAGGGAGUUGAUUGCUGAUGACUAAGCAUCCAUCCUCUUCUCUAUCUCGCCGUCGCAGACUCCUGAUCAUUACCGCUUGGACAUCGUCGAUUUCUACGACCAUUAGUACCAGACGUGGCCGUGAAGGGGAGGAAUCCAGCCCCUCUUCCGAUUUGCCAUUUGUGCCCUAGAUCUGCCUCUCGUCGCUGCACCUCUGCACGAGAGAAAGGUUCCAAGCCCUACAUUCGUUUGGUAGACGCUGAUGCCAUCGAGCCUUAGCCUCGUAUUUCUUCCGAUCUCGGCUUCUCCUCUCCACUACUGCCAAAAUCUAGCCCUGCCGACAGCCAGAUCUGUUCAGUGCUACUUCGGCAGUAGUCAACACCAGAGAGGAAGGAGGUCAAUAGCUGAUUUGGGUUAUGAUAUGGAUGCUAUCAGAUUGUAGAUUCAUAGUAGCUCAGGCCACAGAGCUCCGGCAACAGGCACCUUCAGUUAGCAUUUUUUUGGCAGUCAUUUUCUAGCUGUGAGUCAGCAGGGAAGUCUCCGACUUGGGACUCUGAUUCGAGACAAGCAUCUCAACAUCAGAUUGGUUGAUACGAUCUUCUUUUUAAGAUAUCUAGUAGAGGUAUGUGGAGUCGCUUCGAGUAUCCUGUCUGCCGGUUCCCAGGUCAUGAAGGUUAUAGUUCAGUUUGAGUUCGAGUUCAGCAUUCAUAUAAAAGCAAAAAAAGAAGCAAUUUGAAGGUAGAGCUCCCAUCUCAAGCUAAAGUUUUCAUGCUACAUGUUAAGAAGUUCUUGAGCUCGACCUUCAUCCUUGGUUCAAGCAUUUGAAAAAGAAGUUAAAUACCUCAAGAAAAUCACUAACUUCUUCUUGCUUCAAUUUUCUCUGUGUUGUAAUAUUAUUGUAGAAGGUUUCUCUACUUUAAGAUUUGGUCAGAGAAGCAAGAAAUCUAUAGAGGUGGUAAAAUACUAGAUUAGCCUUGGAUGUAGUCAUCUCGGGGAGGCGAUGAAUUAAGUAAAACAAAUUUUUUAGUGAUUGUCUGUCUUGUUUUGUUGUUA